RNAcentral lists this ribosomal RNA (305 nucleotides) under Romboutsia weinsteinii. RNAcentral describes it as "partial 16S ribosomal RNA". It matches the Rfam family "Bacterial small subunit ribosomal RNA", at positions 1 to 316 of the family's 1533-position model. The record is from RNAcentral. Lineage: Bacteria; Bacillati; Bacillota; Clostridia; Peptostreptococcales; Peptostreptococcaceae.
UAUUUAAGAGUUUGAUCCUGGCUCAGGAUGAACGCUGGCGGCGUGCCUAACACAUGCAAGUCGAGCGAUUCUCUUCGGAGAAGAGCGGCGGACGGGUGAGUAACGCGUGGGUAACCUGCCCUGUACACACGGAUAACAUACCGAAAGGUAUGCUAAUACGGGAUAAAAUGAGAGAGUCGCAUGGCUUUCUUAUCAAAGCUCCGGCGGUACAGGAUGGACCCGCGUCUGAUUAGCUAGUUGGUAAGGUAAUGGCUUACCAAGGCGACGAUCAGUAGCCGACCUGAGAGGGUGAUCGGCCACAUUGG